AACGAACGCUGGCGGCAGGCUUAACACAUGCAAGUCGAACGCUCGUAGCAAUACGGGAGUGGCGGACGGGUGAGUAACGCGUGGGAACGUGCCCUGAGGUACGGAAUAACUGAGGGAAACUUCAGCUAAUACCGUAUGAGCCCCGAGAGGGGGAAAGAUUUAUCGCCUUGGGAGCGGCCCGCGUCGGAUUAGCUAGUUGGUGGGUAACGGCCUACCAAGGCUUCGAUCCGUAGCUGGUCUGAGAGGACGAUCAGCCACACUGGGACUGAGACACGGCCCAGACUCCUACGGGAGGCAGCAGUGGGGAAUCUUGCGCAAUGGGGGGCAACCCUGACGCAGCCAUGCCGCGUGAACGAUGAAGGCCUUA
This 367-nucleotide ribosomal RNA is filed under the name uncultured bacterium. RNAcentral's name for it is "bacterial SSU rRNA". It matches the Rfam family "Bacterial small subunit ribosomal RNA", at positions 29 to 419 of the family's 1533-position model. The record is from RNAcentral.